GGGGAAUAUUGCGCAAUGGGGGAAACCCUGACGCAGCGACGCCGCGUGAGCGAAGAAGGCCUUCGGGUUGUAAAGCUCUGUUGUAAGGGACGAAGUGCCAGAGGAGUAACUGCCUUUGGAGUGACGGUACCUUACCAGCAAGCCCCGGCUAACUACGUGCCAGCAGCCGCGGUAAGACGUAGGGGGCGAGCGUUGUCCGGAAUUACUGGGCGUAAAGAGCACGUAGGCGGAUAAUUAAGUCAGGUGUGAAAGGCCGCAGCCCAACUGCGGGAUUGCACUUGAAACUGAAUAUCUUGAGGGCAGGAGAGGUUAGUGGAAUUCCUGGUGUAGCGGUGAAAUGCGUAGAAAUCAGGAGGAACACCAGUGGCGAAGGCGACUAACUGGACUGACCCUGACGCUGAGGUGCGAAAGCGUGGGUAGCAAAC
Molecule: ribosomal RNA, 425 nt
Filed under: uncultured bacterium
Lineage: Bacteria
Description: bacterial SSU rRNA
Rfam family: Bacterial small subunit ribosomal RNA
Source: RNAcentral